Molecule: RNA transcript, 1152 nt
Organism: Rhinopithecus roxellana (golden snub-nosed monkey)
Lineage: Eukaryota; Metazoa; Chordata; Mammalia; Primates; Cercopithecidae
Gene name: serine/arginine repetitive matrix protein 2-like
Exons: 4
Source: RefSeq, a predicted model, not a curated record
AUGUCUUCUGCGCAGCAGGUGCCGGCCCGGGCGGUGGGCGUGGGGGCCUGGGUGUCCGACCAGGUCAGCUCAGUUCGGCUCAGCUCGGCGGCCGCACCGCCUCCCGGCACAGGUGUGGCCUGGGGUGGGGGGCGCGACCCAGGGAGGGGGCUGCGGUGUCAGUCCCGGCCGGGGCCUGUAGAUGCCGCCUCGGGGGUCUCUGGGGCUGGGGAGGAUCCUGCGAGGGGCCAGGGAGGCUCCAAGGCCGCGCGCGGCAAGGGUCGUGGCGGCGUCCAGCAGCCUGGGGCGGGGCGCGCGCUCCGGGCAGGGCAGGUAGAGGCCGAGAGGGGCCGGCCCGGCGGUUCGCGCGCGCUCUCUGCCGUCCGCAGGCCGCGGCGCAGGCUCUGCCGCCUGAAGCUCGUCUUGCCGCAGGGAGGAUGCCCAAGGCUGGGCAGGAACCCCUGGCUCCUGACCAGGAAUGGCCAUGGUAAGAGUCCUGCAAAACCAGAAAUCAGAUCUUACACUGGCAGCACACGGGAACACAGCAACUAGACUGGGAGCAGCAGGGCUUGCAGCAGCUGGACUGGCAGCAGGAUGACCCACAGCCUGAGGAGCAGCAGCAGGGCUUACAGCAACUGCACUGGGAGCAGGAUGGCCCACAGCCUCCCUUAGAGCCACCACAAGAGCCACAGCUGGAGCAGGAACAGGCUGGGAUACAGCAACACACAGGCUUGCAGCAGCAGACGGGCACACAGCAGCCAGAGCCACAGCCCCCACAGCCGGAGCCACAGUCCCCACAGCCAGAGCCACAGCCCCCACAGCCGGAGCCACAGCCCCCGCAGCCGGAGCCACAGCCCCCGCAGCCGGAGCCACAGCCCCCGCAGCCGGAGCCACAGCCCCCGCAGCCGGAGCCACAGCCCCCACAGCCGGAGCCACAGCCUCCAGAGCAGCCACAGCAGCCCAUGGUUCUGGUGGAUCGAGGGUGGAGCAGGCAGAGGAGCAGAUGGAGACAACAGGAAGGAAGGAGGUCUUCCUGGUUACAGGUGGCCACAGGAGAAUAGGCAGCGGCCCAGGAGGAUCCAGGGUCCCAAUGGUGGUUGAGAAGCUGGUUUUUAGUGAUCACUCAGGAAUGUCGACCUGGCCUUGUGGGGUCAGACUUUGCAUCUCAGUCAU